UCAGAAAAUUAAAGUGACUUUUCU
This 24-nucleotide non-coding RNA is filed under the name Cricetulus griseus (Chinese hamster). The record is from RNAcentral. Lineage: Eukaryota; Metazoa; Chordata; Mammalia; Rodentia; Cricetidae.